UCGGUCGUUGUUGAAGAACAGCUACCAUCAAUUUCCAGAUGAGACAACCCUGAGGACUGUUUGUUUCAGAAUCGAAACUAAUACGUUUCUGUCUUGGGUAUAAAUUCUCUGAGCAACCCCAUCAUUGUGCUUAAAUCCAUCUCCAUCUCCGUUUUCGCAGAAAACAGAAAAAGUUAAGAUUAUGUCUUAACAGGCUUUCAAGUUCAUAGCUAAGUGUCGGCUCAGGUGGUUUAUCACAUGCCUAUAUACAACAUCCAUCCCUACGAUGCAAUAUUCCUGAAUCCAGGGGGUUGUUCUAUGAUGAUGCGAACACAUUGCUAAUUUCUACCGCAGCCAAUCAGGUCUUUUCAUGGCAAACAUCUCCCUUUAACGCAGAUGUGUCUCCUUCAGUUGAUUCUAUAAGUGAAAGGCCUAUCCUAUUUAUCAAAUUCUAUGUUAAUAAAAAAGCCAUAGCUGUCCAAAGAUCCGAGUGUGAAAUACAGAUUUUUAUCGAGAAACCAAGCAGAUACUUACCCACAAAUGCAGGGCAGGAUCAGAGAGCGUUCUCGGAUUCUUUUGGAGUGACUCUCCACUAUGUGACCUUGCAAUUGUAAAGACCAGAUGGGGCUCUGUUGGCAUGGACUUGCUUGCUUGUAAUAAUUUGAUUGCAGUGGUAGCGUUGUCUCAUGUUUGCCUAAAGUCUAAGCACGAUGGAUUCGAUCCACAAGCCCACAAUGAAGCUAAACACUGAAAGAAAACAUAUAUCUUUUGAAACAUAACUGUUAAAUGCUGAAUUUUAUGAAGUUAUAACAUAAAGUGAUUAA
This is a long non-coding RNA of Brassica oleracea var. oleracea, 803 nucleotides long. RefSeq lists it as uncharacterized. The transcript has 4 exons. NCBI's taxonomy places the organism in Eukaryota, Viridiplantae, Streptophyta, Magnoliopsida, Brassicales, Brassicaceae. The record is from RefSeq and is a predicted model, not a curated record.